Molecule: ribosomal RNA, 250 nt
Filed under: uncultured bacterium
Lineage: Bacteria
Description: partial 16S ribosomal RNA
Rfam family: Bacterial small subunit ribosomal RNA
Source: RNAcentral
UACGGGGGGUGCAAGCGUUAUUCGGAUUUAUUGGGCGUAAAGGGCGCGUAGGCGGUUUAUCAAGUCAGAUGUGAAAGCCCUGGGCUCAACCUGGGAAGUGCAUUUGAAACUAGUAGACUUGAGUAUGGGAGAGGGGAGUGGAAUUCCUGGUGUAGAGGUGAAAUUCGUAGAUAUCAGGAGGAACACCGGUGGCGAAGGCGACUUCCUGGACCAAUACUGACGCUGAGGCGCGAAGGCGUGGGGAGCAAAC